AUCAUGAGUCGCCGCCGCCGUCGACGCACCCGCAUCAUCCGCCGCCGCCGGAGCCCCACCUCGAACCCGUCCCACACCGAGAAGAGAGCGAUGGCUGCCUUUCGUUUCUGAAAAACUGCGUGGAAUGUCUUUGCUGUUGCUGGCUAUUCAAGAAGGUGUGCUGCUGCUGCUGCUCUUAAUUCCCAGGAGUGCAUAUAUAAUCCUCAAAAAUAAUAAUUAUCGUUGUUGUCGUUGUUGUUACGUUACGUUGUUGUGAUUGUCAAUCUCCAUCUUCAAUUCGUUCUCCUAAUAAAAUGCAGCACGUACUAGGCCUGCUUAGCUUGCUGCCUGUAUUAAUCCUUUAAUUUCCAGUUAAGGUUUGCUUUGAAGGUUGUUUAUUUGACAUUAUGGUACGGUUGUUAUGAUAUAUGUCAUGUGCAUUUCCUCGCACUACCAUUAUAUA
Long non-coding RNA from Ipomoea triloba (trilobed morning glory), 442 nucleotides. RefSeq lists it as uncharacterized. Lineage: Eukaryota; Viridiplantae; Streptophyta; Magnoliopsida; Solanales; Convolvulaceae. The record is from RefSeq and is a predicted model, not a curated record. The transcript is spliced from 2 exons.